UACGGAGGGGGCUAGCGUUGUUCGGAAUUACUGGGCGUAAAGCGCGCGUAGGCGGCCACCGCAAGUCGACUGUGAAAUCUCCGGGCUUAACCCGGAAAGGUCAGCCGAUACUGCGGGGCUAGAGUGCAGAAGGGGCAACUGGAAUUCUCGGUGUAGCGGUGAAAUGCGUAGAUAUCGAGAGGAACACCUGCGGCGAAGGCGGGUUGCUGGGCUGACACUGACGCUGAGGCGCGAAAGCUAGGGGAGCGAACGGG
Molecule: ribosomal RNA, 254 nt
Filed under: uncultured bacterium
Lineage: Bacteria
Description: partial 16S ribosomal RNA
Rfam family: Bacterial small subunit ribosomal RNA
Source: RNAcentral